UACGAAGGGGGCUAGCGUUGUUCGGAAUUACUGGGCGUAAAGCGCACGUAGGCGGAUUUUUAAGUCGGGGGUGAAAUCCCAGGGCUCAACCCUGGAACUGCCUCCGAUACUGGGAAUCUUGAGUUCGAGAGAGGUGAGUGGAAUUCCGAGUGUAGAGGUGAAAUUCGUAGAUAUUCGGAAGAACACCAGUGGCGAAGGCGGCUCACUGGCUCGAUACUGACGCUGAGGUGCGAAAGCGUGGGGAGCAAACAGG
Molecule: ribosomal RNA, 253 nt
Filed under: uncultured bacterium
Lineage: Bacteria
Description: partial 16S ribosomal RNA
Rfam family: Bacterial small subunit ribosomal RNA
Source: RNAcentral